CUGGUGUCAAGCACCAUCAAACCGAUGCAAUCCCGAGCUGCCACAUGCCUGUGCGCGUUCCCAACUUCAAACAAUCUAGGUCGGUAAUUUACCGACAUCAAAAUUGUUGCGCCUCCAUAUGUUUCUCGGCACCAAACCACAUCGGAAUAGGUAAUCUCCCAAGCACCUGUGUACUUCUCUCCACCAAAAUAGGCUAAAGUGGUGACCUCCCUGUGCUCCCUGUGCCUCCCAUCUCAAGAGCUACAAGAUGAGUAGCUGUCCAUGCUCCUUAUGCCUCCCUCACCA
RNAcentral lists this long non-coding RNA (285 nucleotides) under Elaeis guineensis (African oil palm). Its description in RNAcentral is "long non-coding RNA (EGUI_LNC056256)". The record is from RNAcentral. Lineage: Eukaryota; Viridiplantae; Streptophyta; Magnoliopsida; Arecales; Arecaceae.